Long non-coding RNA from Ostrea edulis (European flat oyster), 876 nucleotides. RefSeq lists it as uncharacterized. The transcript has 5 exons. NCBI's taxonomy places the organism in Eukaryota, Metazoa, Mollusca, Bivalvia, Ostreida, Ostreidae. The record is from RefSeq and is a predicted model, not a curated record.
UCAAAUAAGUUUUAGUCAUUCCCUAAACCUAGAUUAAAAUCAAGAAUCAGAGAGUAUUUAUAUAUCACACAGACGGUAUACAGUCUCAAUAUAUUUCCGGUUCUAUUGCAUCAGGAGCAGAAGAAAAACCCUGUAGCUAUCGAUCACAACAACAACCACGCAGCCAAAAUUGAUUUGUGGUCGGACUGGGACGAUGAAUUAGACCUCAAUGAGCCACUGCCUGAUGGCACCUGGGGAGGAUUCAGACCCUCACCGGACAAAAACACACUGACGGCGAUUCUACAUCCUCCAGACAAGAGCACACAACAGACUCCCUGCAAAGAACAAAAUCGUGAGAAUAGUAAUGAAGCUUUGAAACCGCUACCGUAUCUGCAGGCCAGUAGUGACUCACAUCAGAAGCUGAACAUCCAGAAGGAGCCCUAUGGACAGGGUUCUAAUUUUUACACAUUUGAAAACGAGGACAAACACCGGUCUACUGCCUCAUUAAAUGCAACUCAAAUCUUUCAAAAUGCAAGCCAGAUUCCCUCCAAAAAACGCAAACGUGAAGAUAACGACAUGGAUGAGCUCAUUAAACCUCCAUCAAAGAGAAUUAGAUUGUUGGAAGACUAGAUAAAUUGUGGUUAGAUUGGGAUGAUAAAUUGGAUCUCACUGAGCUGCUGUUGGACUACCUGGGGAGAACUUGAACCACUGUCAGACCAUUAAAGCAGUGAUUGGUUCAUCUGCCCAGCAUUGACUGUGAUACUUAUAACAUACCAACCUUUUUGUAAAACAUUUAACACUAUUUUACUUUAUUCUUUCAUAAUACAGGCCAUCUAUUUAUAAAUAUGUAUUUUGUAAUUUUACAGAUGUUUUUAAUAAAUUUACAUAAAAAGUUUC